AGGUCCCAUCCCUGAAACUCGUGCCGUAGGAUGGGUCGGCGGCGGAUUAGGCUGUUGGUGGGGUAACGGCCCACCAAACCUUUGAUCCGUACGGGCCAUGAGAGUGGUAGCCCGGAGAGGGACACUGGAAUACUGGUCCCAGCCCUACGGGGUGCAGCAGGCGCGAAAACUCCACAAUGCACGAAAGUGUGAUGGGGGGAUCCUACGUGCUCAUGUCUGACAUGGGCUUUUGCCAAGGCUAGAGAUCUUGGCGAAUAAGGGGUGGGCAAGACCGGUGCCAGCCGCCGCGGUAACACCGGCGCCCCGAGUGGCAAUCGCGAUUAUUGGGCCUAAAGCGUCCGUAGCCGGACAGGUAAAUCCUCUGUGAAAUCGUUGCGCUUAACGUAACGGCGCGCAGGGGACACCGCCUGUCUCGAGACCGGGAGGAGUCAGAGGUAUGCCGUGGGGACUGGUAAAAUGGUAUAAUCCACGGUAGACCACCAAUGGCGAAGGCAUUGGACCAGAACGGAUCUGACGGUGAGGGACGAAAGCCAGGGGAGCGAACCGGAUUAGAUACCCGAGUAGUCCUGGCCGUAAACGCUGUGAGCUAGGUGUUGCCUAUCCCAUGAGGAUGGGCAGUGUCGAAAUGAAGAUGCUA
RNAcentral lists this ribosomal RNA (637 nucleotides) under uncultured archaeon. Its description in RNAcentral is "bacterial SSU rRNA". It matches the Rfam family "Archaeal small subunit ribosomal RNA", at positions 175 to 817 of the family's 1478-position model. The record is from RNAcentral.